This 456-nucleotide ribosomal RNA is filed under the name uncultured eukaryote. RNAcentral describes it as "SSU rRNA". It matches the Rfam family "Eukaryotic small subunit ribosomal RNA", at positions 613 to 1071 of the family's 1831-position model. The record is from RNAcentral.
UUGUGGUUAAAAAGCUCGUAGUUGGAUCUCAACAGCCUUGAAGCGGUUAACUUUGUAGUUUUACUGCUUUAUAGGCUGUGCUUUUGCUGGAGGUUUAGGGGUGCUCUUGAUCGAGUGUCUUUGGAUGCCAGCAGGUUUACUUUGAAAAAAUUAGAGUGCUCAAAGCAGGCUAAAAUGCCUGAAUAUUCGUGCAUGGAAUAAUAGAAUAGGAUGUCGAUCCUAUUUUGUUGGUUUUCGGGACUCGACAUAAUGAUAAAUAGGGACAGUCGGGGGCAUUUGUAUUCAAACGACAGAGGUGAAAUUCUUGGACCGUUUGAAGACAAACUACUGCGAAAGCAUUUGCCAAGAAUGUUUUCAUUAAUCAAGAACGAAAGUUAGAGGUUCGAAGGCGAUUAGAUACCGCCCUAGUUCUAACCAUAAACGAUGCCAGCUAGCGAUCUGCCUGCCGUUUUUACU